AUACGGAGGAUGCGAGCGUUAUCCGGAUUUAUUGGGUUUAAAGGGUGCGUAGGCUGUUUGUCAAGUCAGGGGUGAAAUGCCGCGGCUUAACCGUGGAAUUGCCUUUGAUACUGGCAGGCUUGAAUACUGUUGCCGUGGGAGGAAUGAGUAGUGUAGCGGUUAAAUGCAUAGAUAUUACACAGAACACCGAUUGCGAAGGCAGCUAACGAAACAGCGAUUGACGCUGAGGCACGAAAGCGUGGGGAUCAAACAGGAUCAGAUACCCUGGUAGUCCACGCAGUAAACGAUGAUAACUAACCGUCGGCGAUACACAGUCGUUGGCCAAGCGAAAGCGAUAAGUUAUCCACCUGGGGAGUACGACCGCAAGGUUGAAACUCAAAGGAAUUGACGGGG
This 393-nucleotide ribosomal RNA is filed under the name uncultured bacterium. RNAcentral describes it as "partial 16S ribosomal RNA". It matches the Rfam family "Bacterial small subunit ribosomal RNA", at positions 523 to 918 of the family's 1533-position model. The record is from RNAcentral.